CAAUACUUCUGAGCUGAUUCACAAGGAGUAUUGAUGACAAACUCCCCAGUGUUUGAAUCAUAAACGGUCACAGUUUCAAUUCCUCGGACAUUACUUCCAUGCCCCAAUUCUGACAUAGCAAAGCAACCCUUAAUUGCAAAAGUUUCAGUGUCUUUUAGCCACUUGUCAUGAUGGCGCUUUGUGCCAAAGAAUUGGAUAGCACCACCCCACAAAAAGAAGUGAA
RNAcentral lists this unclassified non-coding RNA (223 nucleotides) under Hevea brasiliensis (rubber tree). The record is from RNAcentral. Lineage: Eukaryota; Viridiplantae; Streptophyta; Magnoliopsida; Malpighiales; Euphorbiaceae.